RNAcentral lists this ribosomal RNA (509 nucleotides) under uncultured bacterium. RNAcentral describes it as "bacterial SSU rRNA". It matches the Rfam family "Bacterial small subunit ribosomal RNA", at positions 501 to 1009 of the family's 1533-position model. The record is from RNAcentral.
CUACGUGCCAGCAGCCGCGGUAAUACGUAGGUGGCAAGCGUUGUCCGGAAUUAUUGGGCGUAAAGCGCGCGCAGGCGGAUUGGUCAGUCUGUCUUAAAAGUUCGGGGCUUAACCCCGUGAUGGGAUGGAAACUGCCAAUCUAGAGUAUCGGAGAGGAAAGUGGAAUUCCUAGUGUAGCGGUGAAAUGCGUAGAUAUUAGGAAGAACACCAGUGGCGAAGGCGACUUUCUGGACGAAAACUGACGCUGAGGCGCGAAAGCCAGGGGAGCGAACGGGAUUAGAUACCCCGGUAGUCCUGGCCGUAAACGAUGGGUACUAGGUGUAGGAGGUAUCGACCCCUUCUGUGCCGGAGUUAACGCAAUAAGUACCCCGCCUGGGGAGUACGACCGCAAGGUUGAAACUCAAAGGAAUUGACGGGGGCCCGCACAAGCGGUGGAGUAUGUGGUUUAAUUCGACGCAACGCGAAGAACCUUACCAGGUCUUGACAUUGAUGGACAGAACUAGAGAUAG